Molecule: unclassified non-coding RNA, 253 nt
Filed under: uncultured Alphaproteobacteria bacterium
Lineage: Bacteria; Pseudomonadati; Pseudomonadota; Alphaproteobacteria
Description: contains 16S-23S intergenic spacer region
Rfam family: Bacterial small subunit ribosomal RNA
Source: RNAcentral
UACGAAUGGGGCGAGCGUUGUUCGGAAUCACUGGGCGUAAAGCGUACGUAGGCGGACUGGAAAGUCAGAAGUGAAAUCCCGGGGCUCAACCCCGGAAUUGCUUUUGAAACUUCCAGUCUAGAGGCCCGGAGAGGUCAGCGGAAUUCCGAGUGUAGAGGUGAAAUUCGCAGAUAUUCGGAGGAACACCAGUUGCGUAGGCGGCUGGCUGGACGGGUACUGACGCUGAGGUACGAAAGCGUGGGGAUCAAACAGG